RNAcentral lists this ribosomal RNA (254 nucleotides) under uncultured bacterium. RNAcentral describes it as "partial 16S ribosomal RNA". It matches the Rfam family "Bacterial small subunit ribosomal RNA", at positions 524 to 776 of the family's 1533-position model. The record is from RNAcentral.
CACGUGAGGUGCGAGCGUUGUCCGGAAUUAUUGGGCGUAAAGAGCUCGUAGGCGGUGUGUCGCGUCGGCCGUGAAAACCUGCAGCUUAACUGUGGGCUUGCGGUCGAUACGGGCAUCACUGGAGUUCGGCAGGGGAGACUGGAAUUCCUGGUGUAGCGGUGAAAUGCGCAGAUAUCAGGAGGAACACCGGUGGCGAAGGCGGGUCUCUGGGCCGAUACUGACGCUGAGGAGCGAAAGCGUGGGGAGCGAACAGG